ACGGACACGCCGCCGCCGAUAUCGCCAGCGUCUUGCGUACCUGCGCAAGUCGUCAUCCGCUCAAGCGGACUCGCAGCGCGCAAGGAUGACUGGCUGAACGACCGAAGCGGCAAAGGGUGGUCUUGAUACGAGUUCAUGAGGAUUUGCGGGAGCAGGCGGGCGGUGGAAUCACCUGAAGACCUGAAAGGGACAGUCUUCCAUCUUUCUUGAGUAGCUCUCGCACGAAGGGAGCCGUGCGUGCAAAAACA
RNAcentral lists this unclassified non-coding RNA (248 nucleotides) under Rhodotorula toruloides. The record is from RNAcentral. Lineage: Eukaryota; Fungi; Basidiomycota; Microbotryomycetes; Sporidiobolales; Sporidiobolaceae.